GAUGAACGCUGGCGGCGUGCCUAAUACAUGCAAGUCGAGCGAACGGACGAGAAGCUUGCUUCUCUGAUGUUAGCGGCGGACGGGUGAGUAACACGUGGAUAACCUACCUAUAAGACUGGGAUAACUUCGGGAAACCGGAGCUAAUACCGGAUAAUAUUUUGAACCGCAUGGUUCAAAAGUGAAAGACGGUCUUGCUGUCACUUAUAGAUGGAUCCGCGCUGCAUUAGCUAGUUGGUAAGGUAACGGCUUACCAAGGCAACGAUGCAUAGCCGACCUGAGAGGGUGAUCGGCCACACUGGAACUGAGACACGGUCCAGACUCCUACGGGAGGCAGCAGUAGGGAAUCUUCCGCAAUGGGCGAAAGCCUGACGGAGCAACGCCGCGUGAGUGAUGAAGGUCUUCGGAUCGUAAAACUCUGUUAUUAGGGAAGAACAUAUGUGUAAGUAACUGUGCACAUCUUGACGGUACCUAAUCAGAAAGCCACGGCUAACUACGUGCCAGCAGCCGCGGUAAUACGUAGGUGGCAAGCGUUAUCCGGAAUUAUUGGGCGUAAAGCGCGCGUAGGCGGUUUUUUAAGUCUGAUGUGAAAGCCCACGGCUCACCGUGGAGGGUCAUUGGAAACUGGAAAACUUGAGUGCAGAAGAGGAAAGUGGAAUUCCAUGUGUAGCGGUGAAAUGCGCAGAGAUAUGGAGGAACACCAGUGGCGAAGGCGACUUUCUGGUCUGUAACUGACGCUGAUGUGCGAAAGCGUGGGGAUCAAACAGGAUUAGAUACCCUGGUAGUCCACGCCGUAAACGAUGAGUGCUAAGUGUUAGGGGGUUUCCGCCCCUUAGUGCUGCAGCUAACGCAUUAAGCACUCCGCCUGGGGAGUACGACCGCAAGGUUGAAACUCAAAGGAAUUGACGGGGACCCGCACAAGCGGUGGAGCAUGUGGUUUAAUUCGAAGCAACGCGAAGAACCUUACCAAAUCUUGACAUCCUUUGACAACUCUAGAGAUAGAGCCUUCCCCUUCGGGGGACAAAGUGACAGGUGGUGCAUGGUUGUCGUCAGCUCGUGUCGUGAGAUGUUGGGUUAAGUCCCGCAACGAGCGCAACCCUUAAGCUUAGUUGCCAUCAUUAAGUUGGGCACUCUAAGUUGACUGCCGGUGACAAACCGGAGGAAGGUGGGGAUGACGUCAAAUCAUCAUGCCCCUUAUGAUUUGGGCUACACACGUGCUACAAUGGACAAUACAAAGGGCAGCGAAACCGCGAGGUCAAGCAAAUCCCAUAAAGUUGUUCUCAGUUCGGAUUGUAGUCUGCAACUCGACUACAUGAAGCUGGAAUCGCUAGUAAUCGUAGAUCAGCAUGCUACGGUGAGUACGUUCCCGGGUCU
This 1371-nucleotide ribosomal RNA is filed under the name uncultured bacterium. RNAcentral describes it as "bacterial SSU rRNA". It matches the Rfam family "Bacterial small subunit ribosomal RNA", at positions 28 to 1381 of the family's 1533-position model. The record is from RNAcentral.